Molecule: ribosomal RNA, 500 nt
Filed under: uncultured bacterium
Lineage: Bacteria
Description: partial 16S ribosomal RNA
Rfam family: Bacterial small subunit ribosomal RNA
Source: RNAcentral
AUUGAACGCUGGCGGAAUGCUUUACACAUGCAAGUCGAACGGCAGCACGGGGGCAACCCUGGUGGCGAGUGGCGAACGGGUGAGUAAUACAUCGGAACGUGCCCAGUCGUGGGGGAUAACGUAGCGGAAGUUACGCUAAUACCGCAUACGAUCUACGGAUGAAAGCGGGGGAACGUAAGGCGUCGCGCGAUUGGAGCGGCCGAUAUCGGAUUAGGUUGUUGGUGAGGUAAAAGCUCACCAAGCCUGGGAUCUGUAGCUGGUCUGAGAGGACGACCAGCCACACUGGAACUGAGACACGGUCCAGACUCCUACGAGAGGCAGCAGUGGGGAAUUUUGGACAAUGGACGCAAGUCUGAUCCAGCAAUGCCGCGUGCAGGACGAAGGCCUUCGGGUUGUAAACUGCUUUUGUACGGAACGAAACGGUGAGCUCUAAUACAGUUUGCUAAUGACGGUACCGUAAGAAUAAGCACCGGCUAACUACGUGCCAGCCGCCGCUGUAA